ACCCAGGCUUGUGUAAGCUAGAUCUGACACUGGCUGUGUGACUCUGGACAAGUCUUGUUUCUUGGUUUCCCCAUCUACGGAGAAGGGAUCAGGAGCAGCCGCCAUCUUCACAGGCAGGAGGUCUGCCAACACAGGGGAAAGAGAAACCAACUGAGGGCGACACACGGGGAA
Rattus norvegicus (Norway rat) is the source of this 171-nucleotide non-coding RNA. NCBI's taxonomy places the organism in Eukaryota, Metazoa, Chordata, Mammalia, Rodentia, Muridae. The record is from RefSeq and is a predicted model, not a curated record.